Molecule: ribosomal RNA, 435 nt
Filed under: uncultured bacterium
Lineage: Bacteria
Description: partial 16S ribosomal RNA
Rfam family: Bacterial small subunit ribosomal RNA
Source: RNAcentral
GAUGAACGCUGGCGGUAUGCUUAACACAUGCAAGUCGAACGGACUCUUCGGAGUUAGUGGCGGACGGGUGAGUAACGCGUGAGAAUCUGGCUUUGGGUUCGGGACAACCACUGGAAACGGUGGCUAAUACCGGAUGUGCCGAGAGGUAAAAGAGAAAUUGCCUGAAGAUCAGCUCGCGUCUGAUUAGCUAGUUGGUGAGGUAAAGGCUCACCAAGGCAGCGAUCAGUAGCUGGUCUGAGAGGAUGACCAGCCACACUGGGACUGAGACACGGCCCAGACUCCUACGGGAGGCAGCAGUGGGGAAUUUUCCGCAAUGGGCGAAAGCCUGACGGAGCAAUACCGCGUGAGGGAAGAAGGCUCUUGGGUUGUAAACCUCUUUUCUUAGGGAAGAACAAAAUGACGGUACCUAAGGAAUCAGCAUCGGCUAACUCCGUG